This 429-nucleotide ribosomal RNA is filed under the name Fusobacteriota bacterium. RNAcentral's name for it is "Fusobacteria bacterium partial 16S ribosomal RNA". It matches the Rfam family "Bacterial small subunit ribosomal RNA", at positions 355 to 776 of the family's 1533-position model. The record is from RNAcentral. Lineage: Bacteria; Fusobacteriati; Fusobacteriota.
UAGGGAAUCUUCCGCAAUGGGCGCAAGCCUGACGGAGCAACGCCGCGUGUGUGAAGAAGGUCUUCGGAUCGUAAAGCACUGUUGUUAGAGAAGAACGACCGCUAGAGUAACUGUUAGCGGAGUGACGGUAUCUAACCAGAAAGCCACGGCUAACUACGUGCCAGCAGCCGCGGUAAUACGUAGGUGGCAAGCGUUGUCCGGAUUUAUUGGGCGUAAAGGGAGCGCAGGCGGUGACUUAAGUCUGAUGUGAAAGCCCACGGCUCAACCGUGGAGGGUCAUUGGAACCUGGGUCGCUUGAGUGCAGAAGAGGAAAGUGGAAUUCCAGGUGUAGCGGUGAAAUGCGUAGAUAUAUGGAGAAACACCAGUGGCGAAGGCGACUUUCUGGUCUGUAACUAACGCUGAGGCUCGAAAGCGUGGGGAGCAAACAGG